Molecule: ribosomal RNA, 346 nt
Filed under: uncultured Ascomycota
Lineage: Eukaryota; Fungi; Ascomycota
Description: SSU rRNA
Rfam family: Eukaryotic small subunit ribosomal RNA
Source: RNAcentral
GUANUCAUAUGCUUGUCUCAAAGAUUAAGCCAUGCAUGUCUAAGUAUAAGCAAUUAUACCGUGAAACUGCGAAUGGCUCAUUAAAUCAGUUAUCGUUUAUUUGAUAGUACCUUACUACUUGGAUAACCGUGGUAAUUCUAGAGCUAAUACAUGCUGAAAACCCCAACUUCGGGAGGGGUGUAUUUAUUAGAUAAAAAACCAACGCCCUUCGGGGCUUCUUGGUGAUUCAUGAUAACUUCACGGAUCGCAUGGCCUUGCGCCGGCGACGGUUCAUUCAAAUUUCUGCCCUAUCAACUUUCGAUGGUAAGGUAUUGGCUUACCAUGGUUUCAACGGGUAACGGGGAAU